GACGAACGCUGGCGGCGUGCCUAAUACAUGCAAGUCGAGCGCUGAAACUGGGAGCUUGUACCAAUGGGAUUAGCGGCGGACGGGUGAGUAACGCGUGGAUAAUCUGCCUUUGAGCCGGGGACAACAUCGGGAAACGAAUGCUAAUACCGCAUAAUAACUUUAAACACAAGUUUCAAGUGUGAAAGAUGCAUUUGCAGCACUCAAAGAUGGUCCCCCGUUGUGUUAGUUAGCUGGUAGGGGAAACGCCUACCAAGGGGACGAUACGUAGCCGCCCUGAGAGGUGGAUCGGCCACACGGGAACUGAGACACGCUCCAGCCCCCCACGGGAGGCAGAAGUGGGGAAUUUUGGCCAAUGGGGGAAAGCCUGACGGAGCAAUACCGCGUGGGUGAGGAAGGUCUUCGGUUCGUAAACCCCUUUUGUUGGGAAAGAAAAUAGGUAGAGUGAAAUACGCAUGUAGUGACGGUACCUAAACAGAAAGCAACGGCUAACUACGUG
RNAcentral lists this ribosomal RNA (496 nucleotides) under uncultured bacterium. RNAcentral describes it as "partial 16S ribosomal RNA". It matches the Rfam family "Bacterial small subunit ribosomal RNA", at positions 28 to 507 of the family's 1533-position model. The record is from RNAcentral.